GAUGAACGCUGGCGGCGUGCCUAAUACAUGCAAGUCGAGCGAACAGACGAGGAGCUUGCUCCUUUGACGUUAGCGGCGGACGGGUGAGUAACACGUGGAUAACCUACCUAUAAGACUGGGAUAACUUCGGGAAACCGGAGCUAAUACCGGAUAACAUGUUGAACCGCAUGGUUCAACAGUGAAAGACGGUCUUGCUGUCACUUAUAGAUGGAUCCGCGCCGCAUUAGCUAGUUGGUAAGGUAACGGCUUACCAAGGCAACGAUGCGUAGCCGACCUGAGAGGGUGAUCGGCCACACUGGAACUGAGACACGGUCCAGACUCCUACGGGAGGCAGCAGUAGGGAAUCUUCCGCAAUGGGCGAAAGCCUGACGGAGCAACGCCGCGUGAGUGAAGAAGGUCUUCGGAUCGUAAAACUCCGUUAUUAGGGAAGAACAAAUGUGUAAGUAACUAUGCACGUCUUGACGGUACCUAAUCAGAAAGCCACGGCUAACUACGUG
RNAcentral lists this ribosomal RNA (497 nucleotides) under uncultured bacterium. RNAcentral describes it as "partial 16S ribosomal RNA". It matches the Rfam family "Bacterial small subunit ribosomal RNA", at positions 28 to 507 of the family's 1533-position model. The record is from RNAcentral.